UUUCAUCAUUCGCUUAAUCUCCUCAUUCGGGGAGAGCGGGGGAACCAAUACAGUCCAUAUUGGCAAGCUAUACAUAUCCGUUUUCGGGUGUCACUUGUCAGGGCAAGCUGUACUUUUCCAGGGGUGAAUUCGCCGGGACCACGAGCAGGGUCCGCAGGCCGAUAGGGCAGCUCUCUUGUCCGAACCCGUCAGCUAACCUCGUCAGCGUAAAUAAGAGAGAUC
RNAcentral lists this small RNA (222 nucleotides) under Paenibacillaceae bacterium GAS479. RNAcentral describes it as "c-di-AMP riboswitch aptamer (ydaO/yuaA leader)". It matches the Rfam family "c-di-AMP riboswitch aptamer (ydaO/yuaA leader)". From Rfam's summary of the family: This family represents a conserved RNA structure found upstream of the ydaO and yuaA genes in Bacillus subtilis and related genes in other bacteria. The ydaO/yuaA element is thought to act as a genetic "off" switch for the ydaO and yuaA genes in its native state. RNAcentral also lists the same sequence under 1 other name. The record is from Rfam by way of RNAcentral. Lineage: Bacteria; Bacillati; Bacillota; Bacilli; Caryophanales; Paenibacillaceae.